RNAcentral lists this transfer RNA (66 nucleotides) under Syphrea sp. REN-2018. RNAcentral's name for it is "tRNA-Asp". Lineage: Eukaryota; Metazoa; Arthropoda; Insecta; Coleoptera; Chrysomelidae. The record is from RNAcentral.
AAAAUUUAGUUAAUUUAUAUAUAACAUUAACUUGUCAAGUUAAAAUAAUUUUUAAAAUAAUUUUCU